UGGGGAAUAUUGCACAAUGGGCGCAAGCCUGAUGCAGCAACGCCGCGUGAGGGACGACGGCCUUCGGGUUGUAAACCUCUUUUAGUAGGGAAGAAGCGAAAGUGACGGUACCUGCAGAAAAAGCACCGGCUAACUACGUGCCAGCAGCCGCGGUAAUACGUAGGGUGCGAGCGUUGUCCGGAAUUAUUGGGCGUAAAGAGCUCGUAGGCGGUCUGUCGCGUCUGCUGUGAAAACCCGAGGCUCAACCUCGGGCCUGCAGUGGGUACGGGCAGACUAGAGUGCGGUAGGGGAGAAUGGAAUUCCUGGUGUAGCGGUGGAAUGCGCAGAUAUCAGGAGGAACACCGAUGGCGAAGGCAGUUCUCUGGGCCGUAACUGACGCUGAGGAGCGAAACGCGUGGGGAGCGAACAGGAUUAGAUACCCUGGUAGUCCACGCCGUAAACGUUGGGCGCUAGAUGUGGGGACCAUUCCACGGUUUCCGUGUCGCAGCU
Molecule: ribosomal RNA, 489 nt
Filed under: uncultured bacterium
Lineage: Bacteria
Description: partial 16S ribosomal RNA
Rfam family: Bacterial small subunit ribosomal RNA
Source: RNAcentral